RNAcentral lists this ribosomal RNA (450 nucleotides) under uncultured bacterium. Its description in RNAcentral is "bacterial SSU rRNA". It matches the Rfam family "Bacterial small subunit ribosomal RNA", at positions 889 to 1342 of the family's 1533-position model. The record is from RNAcentral.
CAAGGUUGAAACUCAAAGGAAUUGACGGGGACCCGCACAAGCGGUGGAUGAUGUGGUUUAAUUCGAUGCAACGCGAAAAACCUUACCUACCCUUGACAUGUCUAGAAGUUACCAGAGAUGGUUUCGUGCUCGAAAGAGAACUAGAACACAGGUGCUGCAUGGCCGUCGUCAGCUCGUGUCGUGAGAUGUUGGGUUAAGUCCCGCAACGAGCGCAACCCUUAUCAUUAGUUGCUACGCAAGGGCACUCUAAUGAGACUGCCGGUGACAAACCGGAGGAAGGUGGGGAUGACGUCAGGUCAUCAUGGCCCUUAUGGGUAGGGCUACACACGUCAUACAAUGGCCGGUACAGAGGGCUGCCAACCCGCGAGGGGGAGCUAAUCUCAGAAAACCGGUCGUAGUCCGGAUCGCAGUCUGCAACUCGACUGCGUGAAGUCGGUAAUCGCUAGUAAU